Long non-coding RNA from Ooceraea biroi (clonal raider ant), 4501 nucleotides. RefSeq lists it as uncharacterized. Lineage: Eukaryota; Metazoa; Arthropoda; Insecta; Hymenoptera; Formicidae. The record is from RefSeq and is a predicted model, not a curated record.
GAUUACUUGAUGCACAUUUCGCUAAUAUUCCGACGCGCUCGUAAUAUUUUCCGCUGUACUGAAGGUAAAAAGCGAUGCGAAAAAUUCAAAAGUUAAAAUGCGCUCUUUCUCCUUCUCCCUCGGCCUCUCUCCUCCCUCACUCAGUUUGGCCGGAAUAUUUCUGUUUUUGCGUCAAUUAAUUUUGCACUGGUAUGAAAUGUAAUAUCACACCCUACGGCAGAUUGUAUGAGGAUUUAUGCCGGGGAUAGAGUUAAUUUUCAAUUUCAACGAAAUUACACGUUGCAGUACUCGCAUAUCCGUAUGCGGUCCCUCGAUAUUUCGUUCUCCGCAGGUAUUACGGUGAUUAUGAUCGCUCGGACGGCCGUAAAAUGCAAGAGACGCGCGUGAGACCACUGAUCUUCCGUGACGCCCGUAGACGAACGGAUCCUACGGAGAAGAUCGACGACAUGCAUUUUUCAAUUCCAUCUCCGAACGAACUCCUGCGACGCUUCCGCGUUACGUAAGGAGUCAUGAUGAUAGUUUCGGAAAUUGCGCGACGUAACAAGCGCGUCUGACGUUUGCUGUUUCAUCUGAGUGCCGGGCGCACGAUUAUCGGGGAAAGAAUCGCUUUCGCGGGCAACGCGAGUUCCCAGAUCUCGGCGGAUUGUUGGAGCAAGGAACGCGUCGAGUAUCGAGGAACACCCAUUUGUGGUUAGUAUUACGUGCGCCCGAUCUUCACGAGCGAUUUGGCAUUCGAAAGAUCGUUCGUUCCACCCUUUCUCGGUGCCGCUGUGCAUUUUCGAUCAUGAAGUCGGCUACCACCGUCAGGCACCCUGUGCGCGCACCCUCCACCGUCCUCUCCGGCGAGUUUAAUCAAUUUCAAUCUGCCGGCUGGUAUAAAACUAAUUUAGAUUCCGCGAUUAUCCGCACUCGCAUGGUGUUCGGUCUCUCCCGCGGAAAAUGUACGCUCGCGGCUUUAUACGCUCGGCUUGAUUUGAAGCGGGUAAGCGGGCACGAGAUGUUAUUGCAGAAACGUACAGCACCGCGACCCUCAUCCGGCGUUCGCCGAGGUCAACGACGAGAUUCAACUCACCUUGAGAUAAUGACUCUACGCACACGACGCUAUUUGUAAGAUCACGGAAAUUCUCGUGAUCAUUAUGAUAGAAAACAGGGGGUUGGAUAUCAUGCAAUCUUAGAUUUUGUGUCAAGAAUAGUAGUCAUAUUCAAUACUAUUUAUAUAUUGAUACAUGUUCAACAGAGAAGAUGAAACGGGAAUACGCUUUUCAACGUAUCUCGCUCACAUCAGCAGCAUUCAUCGUGUGUUACUUCUCCGCAUCGGAGAGAUAUUUAUUUCAGACGAGUGCAGCAAGUACACGUUAUAAAUUAUUAUAGAAAAAAGUUCGGACGUGGCAACGACGUGGCGAAUUUCGCAGCCUCCCCAGCAAUGGAAGUCCACCUCGUCUCCGGGUGACGCGAAAUGCGCGAUAAAAAUAUCGAUAUCUACGUGAUGCGUCUGUGACGAGGAGGAGGUCGACUCAGCGUCCGGGUGAAACCCGGACCAUGUCGUCGGACACGGCGGAUCUCCGCCGUUGACGUCGGAUGGAACGAAAAUGUUUUAAUUCCGAUCUCUCCCGGACAUUUCGGUCGGUGCGAUGAACCGAUACGCGCCGAACGACCGUGCCGAUCAUCCCAUAAAGCCGCAGACUACAUCCAAUAACUUUCCUGACAGCUCGCUCACGGCCACCUGAUCGGUCCCGGCCUCUCCGGCUGUCACGUAGGCUUGAAGAAAUAGUAUCGUGCCAGAGAGAACCUCGUAUUCGUGCAUGUCUGUGUGUGCGUGCGUCGUGUGCCGGAUACGUAAUAUUUACAACAGCAAAUAAAAGUGCCAAGAAUGAUACGAAUACGGCGACCACGUCCGGUUGUGGAUUCUGGGCCGGACCAUUCUCUCAUUACACUGUUGGAUGCGUCGCACGACGUCGUGUUUUCGUUUUCGCGCCACGUAAGCUUUUCACGUUAAUUUUGUAUAAAGUCCAAAGAUAAAAAAUGCAAUCCAAUUUUUUCAGUUCUUUUUCCUGUUCAGAGUAAUCUAAUUCCACAAUUUUUUCUCUUUUUUUUAUUUGAUAGAGGAUCGUUAGCACGUAAAGCGUAGCGGUGCGAAUUUGUGGGUAUCCCGCAGCAUUCCCGAUGUUAAGAGUCAUCGAGAAUGAGAUAAACGCAGCGGAUCGAAUGGCGAGCGAUCGGUUUUAACGCCGCGAGCACGUAUCCGGUCUACCAUAAAGACUCGCGUUAUUUUAUGAUAUUUCCCUGAGUGGAGAACGUUUCGUGGCCGCGCGGAUCGCGCCGCGAGGGAGUAAUCGUAAGCAACGGAAAUAUUUCUUUUGCUGGUCGAAACAACAGGUCCCGCUGCGAUAUGCCGUCCGCGUUUCCACGCGAUUCCUUAUCGAAGCAUUAUCAUCAUCGUGAUAUCGAUAGCUAUCUCCCGCGUAAUCAUCGAACUGACACAAAGUCUCACCAAUCUGACGUUAUCAGUUCACUGGGUUCUAAUACUCUCAUAGAUUCACGCGAGCGUCCACUCGAUGUCAUCGCUUCGCUGCACACCGACUUCAAUUUUCCCAACUCCCUUUCCGAUCUUCGUCGUUAUUUUAUUAAAAAACGGAUCUAUUUUUCGAGAGAGUAUUUCUAAUAUGGAUUUUUCUAGUAGAGAAACUCAUUUAAGAAAACAUAGAGAAUAUAUAUACUCAAUGUCUCAGAGACUUCCUAGAUUAUAAAGAAUACAGUCGCGUCCCAAGGAAUGAUAGAAGAAGAUUAUUCUAUUCUGAGGGAGACUUAUACUCUGAUGGAGAUAGCUGUAUUAUACCGCAAGCACAGUCUUCUUUCGCACGUGCAAGGUCUUUCGUCGUCGCGGUCGUUUAGCGAGAACAUCGCAGUUUGCGACAUCGAUUAAGGGUUGCGGUCGGAGUAUAUACUCGAGUGGCUAGCAGCGCGCAUUGGAAAACUAGCGACCGGGAAGUAGUCGUUCGAUAUCGUGACAUUACGUGCUCGACAUUGCGGCGUUGUGGGAGGGUGGGAAAAGCUCCGUGGCGACGCGAUACCGUAUUAAAGUAAUGGGACGGGGGCUGUUAUUACGUUAUAAUGGCACGGCGAUUAUUGCGAGUGCCACCGUGGCGAUGUGAUAUCGCCUGCUGAGCUGGACAGGUCAAGAGGGAACGACGAUGGUCCGCGGAAAUUUAUUCUUUGAUAUUCGCAUUCGCCGGCCAGGCGAGCGGUUUACCGCGUUUUCCGAACUGCUGUAAAGUCAUUUACAGCGGCAGGCGCAUUACGGCGCUGGCAAACGACGUUAACGGGAAGUGGAGACGGUGUUCCUCCGCGCUCUUUGCGGGUUUCAAGAUAAAAGCUGCAAGACAAUGGGAGACGUGCCUGGAUUCGCCCUUUCGAAAAAGCGAGAUGCUUUUUAGCCGCGCGAUUCGAUUGUCGGUUGUCGAUCAUUCUCCAGCCUCGAGUCACUGUUCAAGGAUAAUAAUAUAUCUGAAGCUGCGAUUGCUACGAACACCCACCUAAUCACAGAAAGAAUAAGGGAUCCGACAAUAGGGGAACAAGAAUGUAAAGAGAUAUCCGGAGGAAAUCUCUGGCCUCCCUCGAGGGGAGCGGGGCGUCCAUGCGCGACGAAAGUAGUUGUCUGCUGCAUCCCCGAUAGUUGACGGUAGGCAACAAGCCACGGAGACGACGACAAAACCGACGAAAGAAAUCCUCCUUACAGCCGGGCGCGAAUAAGCAACCGGAAGUUUCUCGGUUUGCCUGUUUACGCGCGUCGCACGGCCAGGGAGCUCCGAUAACCAGCGCAAUGCGGUUUCGCAAGAGCGUAUCGACUUUUUAUUCGAUGCUGUUUUGCACCCCCGCAGCCAUCGUCGUCGUCUUUAACGACAAAGCUCGCCACGUAACCGCGUAACUUGGCUCGCCCGGUCGGAGUAGCGUGCGAACGAGGACUCUCGCAACCGCAGUCGUUAGCGGCUUGUUAUCUCGCGCGUAAAGGGAGGAAAUUAAAGGAGGGAGGAAAGAAGAGAAUCAUCGAGAGGGAGCUUUCGGAAUUCUCUUUGCCGCCGUCUUCGAAUGGAAUUCUAUUAGUUCCCGAGAAUGCUGGAGAACGUGCGUUCGCUCUUUUACCUGGACAAAGGAGGAUGAUUAUCUGAUAUCUUAAAAAUAUCUUGUGAAAUUAAUGCACGAUAAUAUUGCGUGUGUAAUAUGUAGUAUUUUAAUAUAAUUAUUAUAUAGAUAGAUAGAUAGACGUUUAUUUGCACUCUGGGACAAGUCCCCUCAAGCGCUUGACAAAAAAAUUAAUACAUAACAAUUACACAACCAUAGACGCAAAUAUCAAUACAAUGCAGUAUUCCAUAUACAAGAAUAUAGAGAAUAAUAUAAAAUAAAGAUAGUAAUAGUACUCAUGAGAUAAUAAUAGUACUCCAUCUACAUAUAUAAGAAUAAUGAAAAAAUAAAAGAUAGUAAUAGUACUCAAUGCGGUACUCCA